This 219-nucleotide unclassified non-coding RNA is filed under the name uncultured Amanita. RNAcentral's name for it is "sequence contains ITS1". Lineage: Eukaryota; Fungi; Basidiomycota; Agaricomycetes; Agaricales; Amanitaceae. The record is from RNAcentral.
CUGAAGGAAAAGAGUGGCAAGACUGUCGCUGGCUUGAAAGAGCAUGUGCACGUCUUCUGCUGCUUGAUUCAUUCUCUUUCCACCUGUGCACUUUUUGUAGACACUUGGGAAUUCAAAAAAGUUCUCUGGGUGUCUAUGUACUUUUUUGAUACACGCAUUUGAAUGUCUAUAGAAUGAGUUUGUAGGCUGUUUUUUUGAUGGCCUUUAAAUGAUAAAGUA